RNAcentral lists this ribosomal RNA (496 nucleotides) under uncultured bacterium. RNAcentral's name for it is "partial 16S ribosomal RNA". It matches the Rfam family "Bacterial small subunit ribosomal RNA", at positions 28 to 506 of the family's 1533-position model. The record is from RNAcentral.
GAUGAACGCUGGCGGCGUGCCUAAUACAUGCAAGUCGAGCGAACAGAUAAGGAGCUUGCUCCUUUGACGUUAGCGGCGGACGGGUGAGUAACACGUGGGUAACCUACCUAUAAGACUGGAAUAACUCCGGGAAACCGGGGCUAAUGCCGGAUAACAUUUAGAACCGCAUGGUUCUAAAGUGAAAGAUGGUUUUGCUAUCACUUAUAGAUGGACCCGCGCCGUAUUAGCUAGUUGGUAAGGUAACGGCUUACCAAGGCAACGAUACGUAGCCGACCUGAGAGGGUGAUCGGCCACACUGGAACUGAGACACGGUCCAGACUCCUACGGGAGGCAGCAGUAGGGAAUCUUCCGCAAUGGGCGAAAGCCUGACGGAGCAACGCCGCGUGAGUGAUGAAGGUCUUCGGAUCGUAAAACGCUGUUAUUAGGGAAGAACAAAUGUGUAAGUAACUGUGCACGUCUGGACGGUACCUAAUCAGAAAGCCACGGCUAACUACGU